This 253-nucleotide ribosomal RNA is filed under the name uncultured bacterium. Its description in RNAcentral is "partial 16S ribosomal RNA". It matches the Rfam family "Bacterial small subunit ribosomal RNA", at positions 524 to 776 of the family's 1533-position model. The record is from RNAcentral.
UACGUAGGGGGCUAGCGUCGUCCGGAAUCAUUGGGCGUAAAGCGCGUGUAGGCGGCCCGGUAAGUCCGCUGUGAAAGUCGGGGGCUCAACCCUCGGAAGCCGGUGGAUACUGUCGGGCUGGAGUACGGAAGAGGCGAGUGGAAUUCCUGGUGUAGCGGUGAAAUGCGCAGAUAUCAGGAGGAACACCGAUUGCGAAGGCAGCUCGCUGGGACGUAACUGACGCUGAGACGCGAAAGCGUGGGGAGCAAACAGG